Molecule: ribosomal RNA, 430 nt
Filed under: bacterium
Lineage: Bacteria
Description: partial 16S ribosomal RNA
Rfam family: Bacterial small subunit ribosomal RNA
Source: RNAcentral
UGGGGAAUAUUGGACAAUGGGGGGAACCCUGAUCCAGCCAUGCCGCGUGUGUGAAGAAGGCCUUAUGGUUGUAAAGCACUUUAAGCGAGGAGGAGGCUCUCUUGGUUAAUACCCAAGAAGAGUGGACGUUACUCGCAGAAUAAGCACCGGCUAACUCUGUGCCAGCAGCCGCGGUAAUACAGAGGGUGCGAGCGUUAAUCGGAUUUACUGGGCGUAAAGCGUGCGUAGGCGGCUUUUUAAGUCGGAUGUGAAAUCCCCGAGCUUAACUUGGGAAUUGCAUUCGAUACUGGGAAGCUAGAGUAUGGGAGAGGAUGGUAGAAUUCCAGGUGUAGCGGUGAAAUGCGUAGAGAUCUGGAGGAAUACCGAUGGCGAAGGCAGCCAUCUGGCCUAAUACUGACGCUGAGGUACGAAAGCGUGGGGAGCAAACAGG